Molecule: non-coding RNA, 365 nt
Organism: Maylandia zebra (zebra mbuna)
Lineage: Eukaryota; Metazoa; Chordata; Actinopteri; Cichliformes; Cichlidae
Source: RefSeq, a predicted model, not a curated record
AACGGCUCCUACAGACCUGAAGAUUACACUUUGUCAUCAAGCAAGUUCAGGUCCUUCACUGGCCGGGGAAGUAUCUAGAAAUAAGUUUGGACUUGGAGAGAAGGGAUGAUGCAACAUGAUGGAAAGAGAUUACAGAUCACAAAUAGGUUGCUGUGCACUAAGAAGACAGCAGGUCACACUCCUGGUGGACAAUAUUUUUUUUUAAUGUUUUUAUGUGUGCUUACGCCCUUAGACUACAUGUGUAUUAUAUAUACAGACUUUUAUUUAUUUAUUUAGUUUUGACCUGUAAAAAUCUCCCAAGGUUAGAAAACUAGGAUUCCUGUUUUUGGAGCUGAAAAGUCCCAUUCAUUUAUUUUUGAUAUUUG